AGGACGAACGCUGGCGGCGUGCUUAACACAUGCAAGUCGAACGGAAAGGCCCGCUUGCGGGUACUCGAGUGGCGAACGGGUGAGUAACACGUGGGCAACCUGCCCUCAGCUCUGGGAUAACUCCGGGAAACCGGUGCUAAUACUGGAUAUCAACUUUGCCUCGCAUGGGGUGUUGUUGAAAGUUUUUCGGCUGGGGAUGGGCCCGCGGCCUAUCAGCUUGUUGGUGGGGUGAUGACCUACCAAGGCGACGACGGGUA
Molecule: ribosomal RNA, 257 nt
Filed under: uncultured bacterium
Lineage: Bacteria
Description: partial small subunit ribosomal RNA
Rfam family: Bacterial small subunit ribosomal RNA
Source: RNAcentral